This 313-nucleotide long non-coding RNA is filed under the name Fukomys damarensis (Damara mole-rat). Its description in RNAcentral is "lncRNA (ENSFDAG00000030911.1)". The record is from RNAcentral. Lineage: Eukaryota; Metazoa; Chordata; Mammalia; Rodentia; Bathyergidae.
AUGACAGAGGUGAGAGAGACAUCAGGGCCCAGCGGUUCUGUUCCAGGGCCCAGAUUGCUUCCACUUGAUCACUUUGCUGUCCAGGUGACGGGAGUUUUAGUGCUGUGGGAGAUCUCAGGUCAGCAGCUCUUCACGGGGAUUUCUGCUGUCGCCGCUGCCCACUCGUACCCGCGCCGCUUCUCGCCUCUCUUGUUAGCCGAAGACUCGCCUCUCAGCCGCCCGCCGCACAGACGCACGAGUAGAAAGUGCAGCUCCAUCGGCUGAUCCUCGCUGAGCUCCCAGUUUAGGCGGCACCGGGCGUCCCACGAUGCCG